Molecule: long non-coding RNA, 204 nt
Filed under: Mytilus galloprovincialis (Mediterranean mussel)
Lineage: Eukaryota; Metazoa; Mollusca; Bivalvia; Mytilida; Mytilidae
Source: RNAcentral
AGUACAGUUAUCAAACAAUAAGUUCAUAUAUAUAAAUGUAAUAUAAUACAACCUAUUAGAAAAUGUAUAGAACUUGAAAAUAACAUUUUGUUUGGAUUUUAUAAUUGUAUCUUAUUAAAAAGGACAUACAAAAAAAAUAUAGAGAAUUAAUAAAUAAAAGAAUUAAAAGAUGAUUAAAGAAAAAGAAAAAAAAACAAAAGCAAC